AAUGUUAACUGGCAGGGAAAACACGUGAUCCUGUCAGCAGCUGUUCCAGGACAAGACUUCUCCACGGCACCCCAGCUGCGCUGCUCCCAGCAUCCCUAAAUAGGGAAGCUUGACUGCAUCGAUUGUGGGGGUGGGAGAUAGUUCUCCCC
Small nuclear RNA from Erinaceus europaeus (western European hedgehog), 149 nucleotides. Its record names the gene U1. It matches the Rfam family "U1 spliceosomal RNA". From Rfam's summary of the family: U1 is a small nuclear RNA (snRNA) component of the spliceosome (involved in pre-mRNA splicing). Its 5' end forms complementary base pairs with the 5' splice junction, thus defining the 5' donor site of an intron. Lineage: Eukaryota; Metazoa; Chordata; Mammalia; Eulipotyphla; Erinaceidae. The record is from Ensembl.